AUGAUGUCAUUAUACCUGUUAGAGGGGCGAGGGAAUACGAUGUCAUUAUACCCGUUACAGUGGCGAGGGAAUAUGAUGUCAUUAUACCUGUUAGAGGGGAAAGGGAAUAUGAUGUCAUUAUACCUGUUAGAGGGGCGAGGGAAUAUGAUGUCAUUAUACCCGUUACAGUGGCGAGGGAAUAUGAUGUCAUUAGGGAAUAUGAUGUCAUUAUACCCGUUACAGUGGCGAGGGAAUAUGAUGUCAUUACACCUGUUAGAGGGGCGAGGGAAUAUGAUGUCAUUAUACCCGUUACAGUGGCGAGGGAAUAUGAUGUCAUUAUACCCGUUACAGUGGCGAGGGAAUAUGAUGUCAUUAUACCCGUUAGAGGGGCGAGGGAAUAUGAUGUCAUUAUACCCGUUACAGUGGCGAGGGAAUAUGAUGUCAUUAUACCCGUUAGAGGGGCGAGGGAAUAUGAUGUCAUUAUACCCGUUACAGUGGCGAGGGAAUAUGAUGUCAUUAUACCCGUUAGAGGGGCGAGGGAAUAUGAUGUCAUUAUACCCGUUACAGUGGCGAGGGAAUAUGAUGUCAUUAUACCCGUUACAGGGGCAAGGGAAUAUGAUGUCAUUAUACACGUUACAGGGGCAAGGGAAUAUGAUGUCAUUAUACCCGUUACAGGGGCAAGGGAAUAUGAUGUCAUUAGGGAAUAUGAUGUCAUUAUAUCCGUUAGAGGGGCAAGGGAAUAUGAUGUCAUUAGGGAAUAUGAUGUCAUUAUACCCGUUAGAGGGGCAAGGGAAUAUGAUGUCAUUAUACACGUUACAGGGGCAAGGGAAUAUGAUGUCAUUAGGGAAUAUGAUGUCAUUAGGGAAUAUGAUGUCAUUAGGGAAUAUGAUGUCAUUAUACCCGUUACAGUGGCGAGGGAAUAUGAUGUCAUUAUACCCGUUACAGUGGCGAGGGAAUAUGAUGUCAUUAGGGAAUAUGAUGUCAUUAUACCCGUUAGAGGGGCGAGGGAAUAUGAUGUCAUUAUACCCGUUAGAGGGGCGAGGGAAUAUGAUGUCUUUAUACCCGUUACAGUGGCGAGGGAAUAUGAUGUCAUUAUACCCGUUAGAGGGGCGAGGGAAUAUGAUGUCAUUAUACCCGUUACAGUGGCGAGGGAAUAUGAUGUCAUUAUACCCGUUACAGGGGCAAGGGAAUAUGAUGUCAUUAUACACGUUACAGGGGCAAGGGAAUACGAUGUCAUUAUACCAGUUACAGGGGCAAGGGAAUAUGAUGUCAUUAGGGAAUAUGAUGUCAUUAUAUCCGUUAGAGGGGCAAGGGAAUAUGAUGUCAUUAGGGAAUAUGAUGUCAUUAUACCCGUUAGAGGGGCAAGGGAAUAUGAUGUCAUUAUACCCGUUAGAGGGGCGAGGGAAUAUGAUGUCAUUAUACCCGUUACAGUGGCGAGGGAAUAUGAUGUCAUUAUACUUGUUACAGGGGCAAGGGAAUAUGAUGUCAUUAUAUCCCCGUUACAGGGGCGGGGGAAUAUGA
RNAcentral lists this long non-coding RNA (1500 nucleotides) under Oncorhynchus mykiss (rainbow trout). RNAcentral's name for it is "lncRNA (ENSOMYG00000059748.1)". Lineage: Eukaryota; Metazoa; Chordata; Actinopteri; Salmoniformes; Salmonidae. The record is from RNAcentral.